AGAGUUUGAUCCUGGCUCAGAUUGAACGCUGGCGGCAUGCCUUACACAUGCAAGUCGAACGGUAACGCGGGGCAACCUGGCGACGAGUGGCGAACGGGUGAGUAAUGUAUCGGAACGUGCCCAGUAGUGGGGGAUAGCCCGGCGAAAGCCGGAUUAAUACCGCAUACGACCUACGGGUGAAAGGGGGGGAUCGCAAGACCUCUCGCUAUUGGAGCGGCCGAUAUCAGAUUAGGUAGUUGGUGGGGUAAAGGCCUACCAAGCCGACGAUCUGUAGCUGGUCUGAGAGGACGACCAGCCACACUGGGACUGAGACACGGCCCAGACUCCUACGGGAGGCAGCAGUGGGGAAUUUUGGACAAUGGGCGCAAGCCUGAUCCAGCCAUGCCGCGUGCGGGAAGAAGGCCUUCGGGUUGUAAACCGCUUUUGUCAGGGAAGAAAUCCUUUGGGCUAAUACCCCGGGGGGAUGACGGUACCUGAAGAAUAAGCACCGGCUAACUACGUGCCAGCAGCCGCGGUAAUACGUAGGGUGC
This 530-nucleotide ribosomal RNA is filed under the name uncultured bacterium. RNAcentral's name for it is "bacterial SSU rRNA". It matches the Rfam family "Bacterial small subunit ribosomal RNA", at positions 8 to 535 of the family's 1533-position model. The record is from RNAcentral.